Molecule: transfer RNA, 67 nt
Filed under: Marmota monax (woodchuck)
Lineage: Eukaryota; Metazoa; Chordata; Mammalia; Rodentia; Sciuridae
Description: tRNA.Ser
Source: RNAcentral
GGUUGUGGCUCAGUGGUGGAGUGCUUGCCUAGAACGCGUAAGGCACUGGGUUCGAUACUCAGCACCA